UACGGGGGGGGCAAGCGUUGUUCGGAAUUACUGGGCGUAAAGGGCUCGUAGGCGGCCAACUAAGUCAGACGUGAAAUCCCUCGGCUUAACCGGGGAACUGCGUCUGAUACUGGAUGGCUUGAAUCCGGGAGAGGGAUGCGGAAUUCCAGGUGUAGCGGUGAAAUGCGUAGAUAUCUGGAGGAACACCGGUGGCGAAGGCGGCAUCCUGGACCGGCAUUGACGCUGAGGAGCGAAAGCGUGGGGAGCGAUCCGG
RNAcentral lists this ribosomal RNA (253 nucleotides) under uncultured bacterium. Its description in RNAcentral is "partial 16S ribosomal RNA". It matches the Rfam family "Bacterial small subunit ribosomal RNA", at positions 524 to 776 of the family's 1533-position model. The record is from RNAcentral.